CCCGGGGGGAUUGCCUUAUUAACGGCGAGUGAAGCGGCAAAAGCUCAAAUUUGAAAUCUGGUACCUUCGGUGCCCGAGUUGUAAUUUGGAGAGGGCAACUUUGGGGCCGUUCCUUGUCUAUGUUCCUUGGAACAGGACGUCAUAGAGGGUGAGAAUCCCGUGUGGCGAGGAGUGCGGUUCUUUGUAAAGUGCCUUCGAAGAGUCGAGUUGUUUGGGAAUGCAGCUCUAAGUGGGUGGUAAAUUCCAUCUAAAGCUAAAUAUUGGCGAGAGACCGAUAGCGAACAAGUACAGUGAUGGAAAGAUGAAAAGAACUUUGAAAAGAGAGUGAAAAAGUACGUGAAAUUGUUGAAAGGGAAGGGCAUUUGAUCAGACAUGGUGUUUUGUGCCCUCUGCUCCUUGUGGGUAGGGGAAUCUCGCAUUUCACUGGGCCAGCAUCAGUUUUGGUGGCAGGAUAAAUCCAUAGGAAUGUAGCUUGCCUCGGUAAGUAUUAUAGCCUGUGGGAAUACUGCCAGCUGGGACUGAGGACUGCGACGUAAGUCAAGGAUGCUGGCAUAAUGGUUAUAUGCCGCCCGUCUUGAAACACCGGAACCACA
Molecule: ribosomal RNA, 593 nt
Filed under: Saccharomyces cerevisiae (brewer's yeast)
Lineage: Eukaryota; Fungi; Ascomycota; Saccharomycetes; Saccharomycetales; Saccharomycetaceae
Description: partial large subunit ribosomal RNA
Rfam family: Eukaryotic large subunit ribosomal RNA
Source: RNAcentral